UCCCUUCUGGCUCAGCUGGUAAAGAAUCCACCUGCAAUGUGGGAGACCUGGGUUCGAUCCCUGGAUUGGAA
RNAcentral lists this transfer RNA (71 nucleotides) under Bos taurus (domestic cattle). It matches the Rfam family "tRNA". Rfam says of the family: Transfer RNA (tRNA) molecules are approximately 80 nucleotides in length. The record is from Rfam by way of RNAcentral. Lineage: Eukaryota; Metazoa; Chordata; Mammalia; Artiodactyla; Bovidae. RNAcentral also lists the same sequence under 5 other names.